This 72-nucleotide transfer RNA is filed under the name Sphaerodactylus townsendi. Its description in RNAcentral is "tRNA-Ala". It matches the Rfam family "tRNA". Rfam says of the family: Transfer RNA (tRNA) molecules are approximately 80 nucleotides in length. Their secondary structure includes four short double-helical elements and three loops (D, anti-codon, and T loops). Lineage: Eukaryota; Metazoa; Chordata; Lepidosauria; Squamata; Sphaerodactylidae. The record is from RNAcentral.
GGGACUGUGGCUUAGUGGUAAAGCAUCUGUUCUGCAUACAGAAGGUCCUGAGCUCAAUUCCUGUCGUCUCCA